This 1613-nucleotide long non-coding RNA is filed under the name Gossypium barbadense (sea-island cotton). RNAcentral's name for it is "long non-coding RNA (GBAR_LNC000374)". The record is from RNAcentral. Lineage: Eukaryota; Viridiplantae; Streptophyta; Magnoliopsida; Malvales; Malvaceae.
UUCAUAUAAGUCCAUUUUAAUAAAUCCACAUACAAAUGAUCAAAUUAAUGCAUGAAACUUUCACACAUGCAUUUACUCACAUCAUAAACACAGAAUAUAACUUUUAAUUAUUUAUAAGACUCGGUUUCGUGGUCCCAAAACCACUUUUCGACUAGGGUCAAUUUAGAGCUGUCACACGGGCUUAUACCAAAAAUCAAAAAAAAAAAGAAAAGAAAAAAAAACAACAAAUACAAAAUAAACUAAAAUUUAAAUUCCAAAUAUCCAUAAUAAUGUCCAAGUUUUACAAAUUUUCAGGCCCAAAUAAAGAAUCUAUUCUAGCCCAAGUACAUUUUUUAACUUAAACCCUAAACUCGAUUCUAAUAACCUAAAUUAAACCCAAAUUAAAGCUUAACCCAAAAGGGCCCAAAUGAAAAAAUGGCCCAAUAAGCCCGAGUGACCCAGAUGCAGGUUUCAAAAAGGGAAAUCCUAGUCUUCUGAUCAGCGCCGCAGCAAUGGUUUUCACCCUAGCUAUCCGAUUUCAAAGCAGGCCCAAAACAGUGAAGUUUCUGGAACAUGCCAGACCUGCAUGGCUUUCUCCUCCGUACAGUAGUCUCGUGCUCCCAUAGAACCUGCGAGAACAAAGAGAAUAACAGAAAGGCCAGCUAAAAAAUAUGAUUUUCAUUUUUUUCUGUUUAUUUAUUUCGUAAAUCUGGCUAUAAAAGCCAUGGGUGAAAUCCUUUAUUUUUUACACACACUGUACUGUACACACGCACAGAGAACAAAGAAAAAGCAAUUUAAGAUUAGCAAAGGUGAUUUCAAGCUUUCUUUUGUCCUCUCUUAUGAUUUUUUUUCUUUUUUUAGUUUAUUUUUUCAUUUGGUUCAGAUUUUUUUUAGUAUGUGAGUCGAUCCUAAUGAAAGCUCGAAUACUUCAGAAAUACUGAGGUAAAGGCGAGGGAGCAAAUAGUGUUGAAUCUUUGCUUUAUGAACCUAUCUUCGUUUUUUAAAAAAAAUAAUGUGAGAUUUGAAGUUUUUUUUAAAAUAAAAAAGGGAGGAAGAAAAUACUUACUAAAUUUCUCUAAGCAUGGUCAAGCACCUUCAGCGGAGAGGAUGGGUACUGUUUGCAUACUGUUGAUCACCAAAACAAUAGUGGUUCGGCUGCUAGCAAAAGAAACCCUAGAAAUUUGAUUUCAAGGCUGUGAUUUUCGGCUAAAAUGGGGCUGCAUUUGAAAAGGGAAAUGGGGAAAAAAAGGUUUUAAGUAACCUUUUAACAAAACGAUACCAUUUGCAUAAGUGAAGGCCCGCUCGUCAACUCAUUUGGCAGGCCCGAUCUGCGCAUUGUCACUCAAAAAUGGGGAAUUUGCAUGACGAAUCCUUCCCCUUGCGCACAGCCUUCAAUUUGCGCCCAAUUUGCCUACCUUAUAUUUUAAAAUUUGGCAUGUUAAUUUGUGCGUUGUUUCAAUUUGAUCCGCGGUUCAUUGCAGCAUUGUGGGCACGAGAUAUUUACAAAUUCAGUCCCUAUACAUUUAUGCGCUUUGAGCAUUGGUCCAUGUUAUGAUUACUUUAUUUGCAAAUUAUCCUCCCUAUUUUAUUGCAGUAUUAAUUUGGUCUUAUAGCUGUACAAUUGGUUAAUUUAA